Eutrema salsugineum is the source of this 681-nucleotide long non-coding RNA. RefSeq lists it as uncharacterized. The transcript is spliced from 3 exons. Lineage: Eukaryota; Viridiplantae; Streptophyta; Magnoliopsida; Brassicales; Brassicaceae. The record is from RefSeq and is a predicted model, not a curated record.
CUCCUCUCUUAGCACACUGUCUUCUUUGCCUAUGAUACUCGAGAAUUUGUCGAGAUUGACCCGUCACGCCAUUUUCUCAUCUGAGCUUAUCCGUAGAAGCAGAAAGGCCAUCGCAGGACUCGGAGUUCUGUAGAAAAACCUUUAUCUCUUUGAUUUCCAAAAAUUUGCGAUCUUCUAGUGAAGCAGACGUCGUCUCCAAAGCCCUUUGCUGAAAACGGAGAUUCUCUCCACCAUCAGAUACAAAAAGGAGUUUAGGAACUUUGCUGCUUCUUAGUGACUUAAUGGAUUCUCAAACACUUGAGACAAUGGCAGCUCUUAAUGCUGAGAAUGAGUACAUGGAAAUUAAUGAGGAUGAAACAGAGACUCCAGCUGCAACACACAGUGAAACACAACCUACUCAACCAGUUCAAAAGGUGAUAUUGAAGAUAACUUUGAUGAUGAAAAUGAAGAUACUACCACAGCAAGUAGCUCAUGAGUAAAAAUUAUGCUAUCAGAUUUCAUUUCAAGAUGAAGACAUGUGAGAUCUUUAUUAGUUUUUGAUAUUUGGAUGAUUUUUGUGGUGAGAUCUUUAUUAGUUUUUGAUAUUUGGAUGAUUUUGUGGUAAUAUCUUUAUUAGUUUUUGAUAUUUGGAUGAUUUUUGUGGUGAGAUAUUUAUUUGUUAUCACAGAUUAAUGAAUUGCA